This 139-nucleotide non-coding RNA is filed under the name Agarivorans albus. Its description in RNAcentral is "MoCo sequence". It matches the Rfam family "Molybdenum/Tungsten riboswitch aptamer (Moco RNA motif)". RNAcentral also lists the same sequence under 1 other name. Lineage: Bacteria; Pseudomonadati; Pseudomonadota; Gammaproteobacteria; Alteromonadales; Alteromonadaceae. The record is from RNAcentral.
GCAUUAAAGUAUCACCGAAGUCUAAAUCGACCUAAGUCACAAUGAUAUGGCGUUUAGACCCUUAGCAUCGACUAAGCAGGGUAGAGUGCAGAAAUGGCUUUGCCUCCCGCAUUUGGAAAGGUUGAUUUAUGUUAUCGGA